UAUUUGCAUAAUAAAUAUGAGAUAAUUACCUGUUUUGAACCGAGCUCGUAAAAAUCAGCUCUUGCAGGUUCUCGAGAAGAAAAUCCAGAAGUCAAUCUUCGAAACCGUCUUGAAAAUUGAAGAAGGGGUCCAUCCAACGCAUCUGCGUCAAUGCGAGCUUCACGUGUAAGGAUGCAGCGUUGGCUCCCCUGGUAGAAUCGGUGCCGGAGCGCGCCGGCUAUUGGCCGGCGGAGGCUAUUCGAGUUACGGCCAGGACAAGACUCACUGCAAUGGAAACCCUAAAUUUCACUUUUACAGUAAUAUGAUAGAGUCCUUGAAUCUGAUUUCAGAAAGGUGGUUGGCAUAAGGUUGGAAUGCAUAUUUCUGGAUAUCAUUUGUACCACUAAUUGAAAGUAUAUAGACAAAGUUGAAUAAAUUAGAGCUGAUGAGCAAGAAAACUAUGCCCAACUUCGUAUGUUUUAGAAGAUCUUAUCGAAGUUUGACUAUGUUUUGAUCAUCAUGUAGCGCCAUUCACACCAUACUAGAAGUUGCCCAGAAAAUUUUCCACCAUGGAAGAUGGCGACUUGAUUGUUAUACCCUCCGAGUGCCUCGAUUGAUGUAACUGACCAAGAGUUGUCUUCGCUUUUAUCCACUUCAUCCUAUGCCUAUGAGAUUCCACCUUUUUUCUGGAUAUUGGUAACUAGCAGAAUGUAUCACAUGAAUCAUAUAGUCUCGCCACAAGCGAAUGCAAGAUCUGCGUGCCAAAUUGCUUACAAGACAUUUGAAAACUGAUAUUGUGUACUUGCAUUAGUAAAUCUUGGUUGACAACAAACCCUCGAUUCGGUAUAGAAUAACAUUUAUAGUAUGCUAAUGAAUGAUAAAGUAAAAUUCCUGUUUCGGUGAUUUCAGACAACCAACGCAUUUGAUCUGUGCAUCAAGGGGAAAAAAGUAUGCUUCAUUGUACCAAGGUUAGUAAUCAGGUAUACUUCAUCAGGUUAACUCUAAUUCAAUUCUCGCUAUUCUCCAGGGAUACAGCUCCCCUACGGCUAUAAUACCCUUCCACUCUACACUAUUGUCACCCCUUUUCCUUCAAUAGCUAAUUGUUUCAGAUAUUCAGAUGGGAAGAUCAUUCAGUAAGGGCAUGUUCAAUGAGAAUGUACUGGAAAUCUUGUCAGUUGGACUAAGAAAACAGAGGAGCAGAAAUGGAGUUGGCAAUAGAGAAGGUAUUCAGAACAUGGCUCUUGAGGAGGGAGAGGAACUUGACUUCGAAGGUGGUAAACUUAUCGAGUCACUAAAUAUCUCAGAAGUUGCUGUUGAAGUCCUGGAUUUCUUGUAUGGUGCCGUCAACCAAAUGAGUCAUGGUAGCCAAAAGCACCACAGAAACUAGUUGACAUGAGUAACAAGGAGGAUGGCAGAAUCCAACAUCAUGUGGAGCAUGCCUUCACCAACAUGGUGGCCAUGCCUAAAUUAUUAUCACCAACACUAAUUUACAUAAAACAAAAUAUUGUUGUCAGUUUGUCACCACCUGGUCAUCCUCUUCUAACCCAAGAAUCUGAUAACACAAACCACUGUUAGUUGGCUCGUUGUUCAUUAAUUACGCGAUAAACUUGGUCACGAACACGAUUAGGUUAAGGCUCCGCAAAGGCUUAGUAGCUCUUAUGGACUGGUUUGAGGCUUAGCAUGUGCAAAGGACACUUUCAUUUGGUUGUUGGG
This is a long non-coding RNA of Zingiber officinale, 1692 nucleotides long. RefSeq lists it as uncharacterized. NCBI's taxonomy places the organism in Eukaryota, Viridiplantae, Streptophyta, Magnoliopsida, Zingiberales, Zingiberaceae. The transcript is spliced from 6 exons. The record is from RefSeq and is a predicted model, not a curated record.